UACGGAGGGUGCAAGCGUUAUCCGGAUUUAUUGGGGUUAAAGGGUCCGUAGGCGGAUUAAUCAGUCAGUGGUGAAAUCUCAUAGCUCACCUAUGAAACUGCCGUUGAUACUGUCGGUCUUGAGUAAAUUUGAAGUGGCUGGAAUAAGUAGUGUAGCGGUGAAAUGCAUAGAUAUUACUUAGAACACCAAUUGCGAAGGCAGGUCACUAAGAUUUAACUGACGCUGAGGGACGAAAGCGUGGGGAGCGAACAGGAUUAGAUACCCGCG
Molecule: ribosomal RNA, 267 nt
Filed under: uncultured bacterium
Lineage: Bacteria
Description: partial 16S ribosomal RNA
Rfam family: Bacterial small subunit ribosomal RNA
Source: RNAcentral